Molecule: long non-coding RNA, 846 nt
Organism: Ailuropoda melanoleuca (giant panda)
Lineage: Eukaryota; Metazoa; Chordata; Mammalia; Carnivora; Ursidae
Exons: 3
Source: RefSeq, a predicted model, not a curated record
CUUUUUUGUCACCCUGGCCCACUAAUCAGACCUCUGUGUUCCUGGAGAGUUUCUCAAUGGGGCAGCACUUUCUCUUCCUUCCAGGAGCUGCUGUCUGAGGGGACGAUCUACCCAGUUGGGUCCCUGAGCCUCAUGUGAAUCGGUCGGUAUGACCACUUAUCCUAACAACCAUAAGAAGCAUUGGCAAAAUUGGAGAAGUAGAGAAGACAGCAGUGCCAGGAAGACAGGAGGAGAACAACUCAAGUAAUGGCUGAGGAGAGAACAGACCCCCUGUAGAGAAAGGAGGAAAGAAUAUCAGGAGCCAAAGCUGGAGCAGUGACUGAAGUUCUACACCCAACGUGGGGCCUGAACUCAUGACCCCGAGAUCAAGAGUCACAUACUCCACCAACUGAGCCAGCCAUACUCUCUCCUGACCCUUGGAUAAUUGUGGGACCGAGGCACUGCUAGGUAUGAAUCUCGGUAAAAAUGAAUUAUUGCCCCUCCAGGGCGGAAGUGGCCCCGUGCUUGGAGACUGCGUCCUGCGGAUGUCAUUGUGUAGGGCUCAGCAUCACCUGAGGCUGCUGUGGGGCUGGAUGACCAGCCUUGCUGGUGGGAGCCCACUCUGUUGGGCCCAUGCACCCGUUCUUUCCUGGCUAUUCCAGCCCUGGGUCCCCCGUGCAAACACUGGGGCAGCGAGGAUGGAGGCUGGCUGACCUCCAGGAGAAGCGUGAGCCUGUCCAGUUGCUGCUCCAGGGCCUUCCCCGUGGUGGGUGCUCUCUGCUCCCCACUGGCUGAAGACAUAAAGACCUUUUUUUUUUUUAAAGAUUUUAUUUAUUUAUUUGACAGAGAGAGAGACAGCCAGCUAGA